Syngnathus typhle (broad-nosed pipefish) is the source of this 15741-nucleotide RNA transcript. It is a transcript of the gene named anaphase promoting complex subunit 1, with no coding region annotated. NCBI's taxonomy places the organism in Eukaryota, Metazoa, Chordata, Actinopteri, Syngnathiformes, Syngnathidae. The record is from RefSeq and is a predicted model, not a curated record. The transcript is spliced from 61 exons.
CGGAAGGAUGCCAAUACAGCAAACAUGUCGGCGGUCAAUUGAAAAGUUGCCGCUAGUCAAAUUGUAAGUGCGUGUGUGUGUGUUUGUGUUUUAUGUUCUAACUUUGCGUUUAAGCCGCACCUUGACACGUUUAGAAGACGAGGACUCCACGAUAAGAGCCAGAAUAUUCGUUAUUAUCAGAAAUAAUGCUGAUAUCUGGGACUCAUGUCGGACGUCGUGUAUGAAGAGACAGCCACGAUGAUUGCCGCAGGGGAAUUGCAGUCGUUUGUCCCGUUUGGCCGUGAUCACUGCAAGAACCACCCCAACGCUUUCAACCUGCAGCUGCGGGAGCUGCAGCCCGCCUCAGAACUCUGGACGUCGGACUGCGCCGCCGGCCUGGCGGGCUCCCUGCAGGAGGUCAGCCUGCAGGAGAGAGAGCGGGAAAGCUGGCAGCUGAGGAAGGGCUGCAUGGAGGUCCCGGAGCAGGGUGUGGAGUUCGAAGAGGAGCUUUACUCGGCAGGGAACGUGGUGGUCUGGACCAAGGGUAGCCGGGCACAUGGCUCGAAUGUUUACAAGGCGUUCACUGUGGACAGCCCGGUGGAGCAGGCUUUAUGGUGUGACUUUGCUGUCCCUCCGAGCAAGAAGGAUGAAGAACAGCUGGAGCACACGGUGUGCAUCGUCCAGAACGGCUGCAUCAACAUCCACACCGUGACCGGCAAAGAUUUCCUCUCGCCGCUGCCGUUCCAGGUGUCCAAAGCCUGGCCGACUAAGUUCGGACUUGUGUUUGAGCGUAAAAUCACAGCAGCUGACGGCCAGCUCAACCCUUCGGGCGAGCCACUUCCCUACUUGUUCAGCAUGCUGCAUCCGAUAGAUGAGGUGGCACCAGUGGUGUACAAACCCUCUGGUCCGUUUGACAGCUCUCGCGUGGAGUACAUGACGGAAUCCAGCUCAAAGAUCGUCUUCACCUGCUGUCAGCCCUCCGUCAUCGUCACUUACGAUAGUGAGCACGGAAUACACUCGGUGUGGAGGCUGCGCAAGGUCACAUCUGAGGAGCGCUCGAUGGUGCUUAGUUGUCUCGCCGAGCCCUUUGCCGAACCUCUCGGCUUCCAGGCCACGGGCCUCCUUAUGUCACACCUGCGCAACCACUCCCGCUUGGACACCCCGUGUGGCAGCAAGGCAGCCAGGUUCAAUCCCGGCGCUGGAGCAAGUGGUGUCAUUGGUGCCAACAGCCCUCAUCACUACAGCACCGUGCACAGCCACCAGAGCAGAACCCUCAUGUCCUCACCAGUAAUGCACUCCCGCGUCCAUUCCCCGGGUAUAUCCAAGAUGGCUGCCGUCAGUCGCGACCACUCUCCGGGCAUGGCGAUGCCGUCCUUAUCGGGCGCGGCUCGCUUUAACACGACCCUGCACUCCUCGUCACCUGCGGGCCACCAUCACGGCAUGGCGCACUCGCCCAACAGCACCAUCAAUGAGACGGUGCCGGAGCCCAUCAUCCCAGAUCUGUGCAUGGAGCAGCUAUGGAGCGAGACAACUGCGUGCCACAGCCUGGACAGAGAGAUGAGCAGCCAGGCGUCCAAAGUGUUCCUGACCUCCGACCUCUGCGAGAACCGCUACCUCUGUUUCCUGGUGGAGUCGCACCAGCAACUCAGAUGUGUGAAAUUCGUGGAGAGCAACGACACGUCUCAGCUCAUCUUCGCCUCCGUGACGAACAUCGCCGCCAAAGAUGCGGAGCCUUUGCAGAACAUUGAUGCAAUGCUGGUAUUGGAGGCCUGCGGCAGCCUAAUUCUCUACACGGGUGUCACCCGGGUCAGCCAGGUGUUUGUGCCCGGCCUCCUGCCAUCCACUUUCGGUCUUAACAACAACCGUGUCGGUCCCUACACGCCGCAGGAGCAAGUUAGCACGCCCACUAAUGCAAGCAGCAGGAAUUUGCAAAGAAUGGACGAGGCCGCCAUGCCCUCGCCCGUGUCCGAUCCAAGGGGCCCAAACAUGAAGCACCACGAAGCAUCUUUUUUAGAGGACUACACUUACCAGCAGGCUUUGCGCUACAUCCACGCCCUCCGGGACCCUGUCAGCAACCGUGUAACUCUGGAACUAAGUAACGGCACCAUGCUGAGAAUUUCCAUCCCGGACAUUGCUGUCUCUGAGCUGGUUCGGAAAUGUCUUCAGGCCAUUCGUUUCAUCCUGCCCAAGGAAGCUGCCAUGAAGGUUUUGGUGAAAUGGUACACAAUUUACAACGCCCCUGGCGGCACAAGCCCCCACAGUGAGUGGAACCUGUUUGUCACUUGUUUCUUGAAGCUGAUGGGCUACAACACGGAGCGCCUGACCUGGACCCGGAAUCUGAAUUUUGAAGUGCCUCUCUCGCCGGUGAUUGCGGCUAAGAAAGCUCGUCCCUGUGAUGGAGGUUGCGAUGAGGAUUGGGAGUACUUGCUGGGAAGUCAUUACCACCGCCAGAUGGAUUCUCAUUCCGACGCCAAACCAGCAGCCUCUAGUGGCUUUAACGCCAGCGUCAUCCCGGACGAUGGGGACCUCUCAUCUGCGCCGUCCUCUUCCUGCGUCUUAGACAACACGGCGCCCCUCUUCGUUCACAUUCCGGCCCUCUUCUACGUUCUUCACCUGCUCUACCAGGAGCUGCUCCUCAACGAAUUGCACCGAGAGAGGGCCUUGUCCCUGGUGUGUCUUCUGCAGCAGCUCGCCAGAGACCUGCAGUUGGAAGAUUAUGUGGAUCUCUACUGGAGAGACUACCCAUCAUUAAUCAAUGGAUUCACAGAGAGCUGCCUCAUAGACCAGUCUCUGAUUGGUCAAAUGCAGCAUCCGUCUUUCCUGCGUGCGGAACCUCCCUGCAUCUUCAGCUGGCUCAGUAGCUGCCUGCAAGGGGAAUCGGUCCCGCCUUUCCCCUACCUGCCCGGUGUCUGCCACAGGCUCCGGCUGUUGGUUCUGAGUUAUGCUCUCUACAUCAGCGGCGACGACAAAGCCACCACAUCCAAUGCGUCUGAAUACUUGGUGAAGCUCUCUGCAGGCCAAAAGACCAGUGAGCAGCAGUACAAAAGACAGACGAGCGUGAAUCAAGUCAAGUCGUGCAGCGGGAGUCUGGCUGAGCAGCUCGUGGUCUGGCUCACCUCGCAAGGGUUCACCCUCAAAGACUUGGAGUCGGUCCCUUUCGGCGUGGCUCUGCCCAUCCGAGACGCCAUCUACCACUGCCGGGAGCAGCCCUGCGCCGAUUGGUCAGAGGAGGUUUGCCUGCUGAUUGGCCGGCAGGACCGCACCAGACAGGCCCACAACAUGACCCUGGUGAAAAGCAAAGCUUCUGUGAGCUCAAGUUUGUCCUUGGAACCUCCCGCGACCACAGAGGCCGACGAGGAGGAGGACGGAAUGUCGGACAUCAUUCAGGAGGUCACAGGACUGAUCUGGAGUCAGGAUCUUAGGGUCCAGGAAGUCCGAAGGCUUCUGCAGAGCUCCAAGCCAGUCCGGGUCUGCGUCGUUCAGCUCCCGGAGGUCUCGGACCACGAGUACAUAGAAGAGAAAGAGAACAAACUCCUUCAGCUGUGUCAAAGGACCAUGUCCCUCCCAGUGGGAAGGGGCCUCUUCACUCUGUUCUCCUACCAGCCUGUACCUACAGAACUUUUACCCAUCCCGAAACUCAACCUCACAGGUCGUGCCCCACCCAGGAACACCAUGGUCAACCUGAACAGCGGGAAUAUUGACGUCCCGGCCAAUAUGCCCAGCUGGCCCAGCUUCCACAACGGCGUCGCUGCCGGACUCAAGAUCGCCCCCGCGUCGCAGGUGGACUCGGCUUGGAUUGUCUACAACAAAAACAAGAACCAAGAGAUGGCCAACGAGCACGCUGGCUUCCUCAUGGCGCUGGGCCUCAACGGGCAUCUCACCAAGCUUGGGACACUCAACAUACACGACUACCUCACCAAGGGCCACGAGAUGACCACCAUCGGGCUUCUCCUGGGCGUGGCAGCAGCGCGACUGGGUACCAUGGACGUGUCCACCACCCGCCUGCUCAGCAUCCACAUCCCUGCCCUGCUUCCUCCCACCUCCACUGAGUUGGAUGUCCCACACAAUAUACAGGUGGCGUCUGUAAUCGGCAUCGGGCUGGUGUAUCAGGGAACAGGACACAGACACAUUGCUGAGGUUCUACAAUCAGAAAUAGGGCGACCUCCAGGUCCGGAGAUGGAAUACUGCACCGACAGGGAGUCCUAUUCCCUAGCUGCGGGAUUAGCUCUUGGGAUGGUCUGCCUCGGGCAAGGCAGCAACCUAAUUGGGAUGAGUGACCUGAACGUCCCAGAGCAACUGUAUCAGUAUAUGGUAGGGGGCCAUCGAAGGGCCCCAGUCGGAGCCAGCCGAGAGAGACAUAAAUCUCCCAGCUACCAGAUCAAGGAGGGCGACACUAUCAAUGUGGAUGUGACGUGUCCUGGGGCCACGCUGGCACUCGCCAUGAUCUAUUUGAAGACCAACAACCGGUCCAUAGCUGACUGGCUGAAACCUCCAGAUACUUGGUUCCUAUUGGAUUUCAUCAAGCCAGAGUUUCUUCUGCUCAGGACCCUGGCCAGGUGCCUCAUCAUGUGGGAUGAAAUCCUCCCUAAUACAGAAUGGGUCAAAAGUAACGUGCCGCAGAUCAUGAGGGGGUCUCAUUCGGACUCACCAGAAAACAUCAACAUGGAGACGUGGAUCCAAGUGCAGGAUUACAUCACAGCCGGAGCUUGCAUGGCGCUCGGCCUGCGAUUCGCCGGUUCCGCCAACUCGGAUGCCUUCGACUGCCUCUACGACUUUGCCAAGAACUUCAUGAGGCUGAUGUCCUUCUACGGUACAGCCGCUGCGGAGCCGGGCUGCUACAACAUGCAGACGGCGCUGUCCAUGAUCCUGCUGUCCAUGUCCAUGGUGAUGGCCGGCACGGGCAACCUGAAGGUGCUACAGCUCUGCCGCUUCCUGCACUACCGAACCGGCGGCGAGAUGAACUACGGCUUCCACAUGGCUCAUCACAUGGCGCUCGGCAUGCUUUUCCUGGGAGGGGGAAGGUUCAGCUUGAGCACAUCCAACUCAGCCAUCGCUGCUCUGCUCUGUUCCCUCUAUCCUCACUUCCCCUCACAUAGCACAGACAACCGCUAUCACCUGCAGGCGCUGCGCCAUCUCAUUGUUCUGGCCGCCGAGAGCCGGCUGCUGGUGCCGGUUGACGUGGACUCCCUUAAGCCUUGCUACGCCCUCCUGGAGGUCACCUACAAGAAAACCGACUGGUACGACGAGACCACGGUGGAGCUGAUGGCUCCGACCAUGCUGCCCGAGCUGCACCUCCUCAAGCGGGUUCGAGUGAAGGGGCCUCGUUACUGGGAACUUUCCAUUGACCUGAUCAAGGAAGUGCAACACCUCAAGUCGGUCCUUUCCAGGGACGGCGUGUUAUACGUGAAACUCCGAGCGGGGCAGUUGCCCUACAAGGAUGACCCCCAGGGCUGGAAAAGCUUGCUGGGCUCCGCCGUCACUCAGCGCAGCUCUGGAGUCCGAGCCUUUAAGCUCGAGGCCAUCUCCACCUUCACCUCCGAGCCGGCCUUGCUCUCCUUCGCCGAGUUCUUCUGCAAGACGUCGGGCGGAGCGAAGCACCGAGUAGAGACCGUGGAGCUGUUCUCAGCCAUGUUGUACGAGUGCGUGACGCAGGAGUGUCCGGAGAUGCUGCCCACGUACGUCGCUAUCGAGCAGGCGGUGGGCGCUCUGUGCCGUGGUGAGCCGCAGCACAGUUUCGCCCUGUGGCAGAUGCGCCUGGUGGUGGAGCUUUGGGACAGCAGGGUGCUCCAGCGGCCUGCCCACGGCCGUGACGCGCUGCUUUCCUCUGAGUUUUUACCGGUCAUGAAGAACAAGGUGGAUGUGGUGCUGGACAGCUGGCUCAAAGACAACAGCUCAGCGUUGAGGUCCUACAUAGGCAGAAAGGCUCUCCCCGAUGGUCCCGGGUCCCCCAUGUUGGCUUGCUUCCUGGUCUACCGCUCUGUCCCCUGCCUCAGGAACAAACUGGCGCAGCUUCAAGGCUGCACUUCACUCGGGCACUUGUUGUCCAGCAGCAGCCGGUUGGGAAUGCCACUCAGAGACCUGCUCAGGCUCGCUCCGGUCCUGCUGGAAACCCAAAGCAGGCCGCGGAUGCUCCUUGGUUCCCCGUUGCUCGCACGCUGAACCUUGAAGCCUUAUACUCUGUUCACGCAGCAGAGAGACAGGAUGGCCUUUCUGCAUGCCUUGCAGGUUCACUGCUGGGAGGAUGCCAGUUGUCAUCACGUCACACAAAAAAAGUUAGGAAUUUUGGGGAUGAAUGUAAAUACACAAUUUCAUUUGACCUAAAAGUUUUUUCCAAGGCCAAAUUAAAUGGACCUAUUAUGGUUAUGGCAUUUACCUGAAAAUAUACUCACUACUUUUUGGAAGUAGUGUACUGUGACUUGGUGUAUGGUUGCCAAUGUUUUUUUGACAGCCUUGGAGACUAGGUGUUCCCAAACCACGUGUAUCCAUUUAAAACAUCAGUGACUCAGCCAUGUUUGACUUUUUAUGUGUCUGAUGCAAGGAAAUGAAACAGAAUUACUUUCACACCAACGCUUUAAUCGAGCUGUGUGAUGUUGCACUUGUGGAAAAAAACAACAACUCCUUAUUAGUCUUUAAAUUCCCAAGCCUUUUUUUUUUCCACCCCAAGUCCAACCCUUGAUGUUCCCUCCUAGACAUUCAUGCCAACAAUGUUCUGGCAAGUCCAGUUUACCAGCAGCUAUGCCAACAUUCCUCAGAAAUGAAUAACAUGCAAACACAUAAACAGCCCACGCCUUGUCCUCAUUCCAUCAUUGCUUCCUUUAUGUCAUGUCGCUAUCUUGGUGGAACUUUGAGCGAGAUAGCCAACGGCCAGCUGUGUGUUUCGCUCACUGAUAGCGCGGCUCUUCCGGUUCCUGGAAGUCGUUUUAUCUUGUCUUUAAAUGCUAAACUGUGGGCGUUUUACUGGCUGAUCAAAGACAACCAAGUUUAAGUGUCUCCGUUUUUUUUUCCCUGAGAAUUCUUCUCAAGAAAACCAGAAUCAAGUUUUUCUACUUUAUACAGAUGUUGAGGUUGAAAAGAAAGUAAAAAUAGCAUUUCAAAACAAAAGCAAGGCAGGUAUGCACACUAUGUUGCCUUUCAUUCUUUUAAUAGCUUCCUCUUUUGAGUUGAAAACCAUUUCCAGUACGAAACCUUGCGCCACGUGGUUGGCUCAUUCUUCACAUUCUUUCAUCACACGUUGCCUGGAUGUUUGAAAAGUAAAAGUGCUUGUGCAAUCCAACGGCAUUUUUUUUUUUUUUUUCUUGAGCUGUGUUGUUAUUGGCAAAAUAGUGUUUGCUUUGAAAAGGUAAUCUGGUUCGCCUUGCUUUGGAAUGCCUGACCUUAAAACAAGAAUUCUCUCGAGGUGGCCUCCGCCCUCCUCCAUACCAACCAACAAUAAUCAUUAUGAUCAUAAUCAUUGCAAUCACUUCCGAGAAGCCGAGUGCUCGCUUUGAGCCAAGCAGUGCUUUUUUUGAAUUGAAUUGAAAGUUCAAAGUUCAAAAUCAGCUUUAUUGUCAAUCCCUUCAUAUGUCAAGACACACAAAGAGACCGAAAUUCCGUUUCCUCUAUCCCACCGUGAUGAGACAUAGUACACGAUAGACAUACAAGUAGACGACACAAAAUAAAAACAAGAAGGCACAAAUAAUAAAUAAUAAGUAAAUAAUGAGGGAUGAAUAAAUAAUAAACAAAUAAACUUAUCAUUCCACCCGAUUCUUGACUGUGACACAUUUCAGUGCACUGUAUUUCAAACUCAAAUUUAAAAAAAAAAAAGAACCGCGUAAUUCCUGUCAAGGGUUUCACCGCAUCUGCACUUCUGCUCACCUUGCAGGACGUCACCACAGUGCAAUUACUUGAUUUUACAGUCUAUUCCGGGAACUUGCCAGGUGAUUUUAACAUUCUAGUUUGAAAUAGAGAACUAGAGAAGUGUCACUACGCUUUUAUGAAGAACUAGAGAGUGUUGGCGCCUUUUUUUGUCUUAUCCGGCACCACUUCUUUGACUUCCUCUGCGAACAUAAAAAUGAAGUCGGUGCGAGUCUAAUUUUAAUAUUAUUUGCAUAUGGAGAGGAAGUUGGAUAAGAGCACAAGUACGCGUACAUACACUCACCCCCGAGUGGUAGUUUUACGGUGUGCAACAGGGUUUACAACUUUGCCCUAUUUUUUUUUUUCUGUUACUGUAUUGCAUAUAUGUUACAUACAGUAUUUUGGAGUGGUCACACACCUUAAAACCUGAAGACCACCCUAAAGACACACACACAAAUACAGUCUUAAUAAUUUUGAUCUAUUUAAGAUUUUCUCCUUUGUCUCACUUUUUGCCUACAUUUUGCAUAAUCAAUGUUUUUUAAAGAGUUUCCAUAUAUUUUAGGUACUUUGUUCCACUUUUUGCCUCCAUUUUGUAUACUCAAUUGCAUAUGAUGCUUUUAGAGUUUCCAGUUUUAGGGUGGUGGAUGACCUUAACAUCCUAAUGACCCUUCAAAAUACUACAAUAAAGCAGCUUGACUAAGUGUGUACUUCAGUUUAUUGUUGACACAUUUCUCCAAACUGUUUUACAUAUGAUACUUUUACAACUCAUACUCAGUCACUUAUAAAAAAAAAAAAAGAUAUAUUAGUAGUAUGUAUAGAGCCAUUCGGGUCACAUGAUUGUAGACUGUCCAAUGAUGACAUGUCUCCCUCCAUUCAUCGUGGGUGGAGGACCGUGUGGGCGUGAGACCAGAAGUUGAUAGAAGUUAAAUUGUUGAGCUGCGUCACUGUGAAUGGCUUUUGGCUGAGAGACGUUUGGAGCAAGACUUUCUGCAGGCAGAAAAGCGAUUGCAAAGUGCUCUAGGCGCGGUUUAUUUGGGCAUGCAUGGCAUUCGUUGAAAAAGAAAAAAGAUCCCUCAGUGCAAAAAGUUGACAGAAAAUUCGUGUUUGCAUGUGGCGUUGUUUAAAGACUGCAAAAUCAAGAAAGUUUGGCGCCCUUCUGCUCAUGACAGGCUUUAGUGAGAACUCCUCCACUGAAGAAGAAGAAGCGAAAAAGAUGAAGAAGCGCAAACGCUCCAUAUUUGCUGAGUCAGCCUCAUGACUUCAUCGACAUCACGAGAUGGUGCGAGGGCGUUGCAGCAGCAGCAGGCCCGAGAAGCACUCUGCAGCUGCAGCUUCAUUUGUGGCACCGCACUACCAUCACUCCCACGGAGAGUUCUUUUUUUCCCACCAUCUGCAGCUGGGUUGAGCAAGCGGAAGGUUGACAGGUGAACGCGAGCCCGGAGGAGAGACUCCGCCCCCAACAACAUCAUCAGCAAGGACUGGAUGGGACUGGAACCCCGGGCGUGGGCGGAUGGACACGUGACUCACCCGGCAGCAGGAAGACGACGACCGGAGUCAACAAGCCCACGCUUUGGCCCUCAUCCACAUCGCCAUUCAUUGCUCACACAGCAGAAGGGAAAUCCUCUCCACAAACCACCACCAGGACUUGAGAGAGGAGGACGUCCUGUCUUGGCCUCACGCCUUUCGGAUAAAACCUGGCCCUGAUGGAUCGUAAAACACCAACAAAGAGUGGCACGAGAUCCAGCCAGAGAGAGGGGGGAGGAAAAGUCAAGCAAAGCCCACACAGCACGCUCAUGCCAGGACAGGAAACAGGACAGACUAAGAGGCUUUUCCAGCUUUUCCUGUACACCAUCCCUUUGACCCGACUGCAAAUAUGUGGCACCCAAGAGACUAGUCCAUCGUUUCAUGACGACGAGAUAAGAGGUGAGGAUUAAUUCAGACGUCGACAUUUUACCAGAAUUAUAAAAGUCUCCAAAUAUGCAAAUCUGUUAUUCAUCUUGGUGAUGGCAAAGUCGAACCAGUGAAUGCUAUUAUGAUUAUGAUCCAUAAACGCUAUUAUCGUAAACAAUUGCUGGGCAAUCCGGCCAAUUUUUUUAUUGGAUCGCUCCAGGUAACACAAUCCGUCAUCAUGACAUAGAGGUGUCAAUCAUUGGGCGGUUUUGCUGAUGGCUAACAUCUGUUGCUCUUAUUGCACGGAGGUUCAAAUUGAAAAACGUUUUGUUGUGUCUUCGGGGAGGGAUGCGAUCAAUUAUUGCGUCAGGGUUCUCGGGGCAACUGCAGGGAUCGGUAAAGCAAACACAAGAGUGACUUUGGUCACGCAACUGGUGUGGAAUGACUCAUACAUUGACCUUUAAAAAGGUCGAUUGUAGCUUUAUUUUUUACGACUUUCCUUUCUGUUGUUAUUGAUCUGUGUCUGUGUGGUAAAAACAUUGCAGUUAGCCGUUACAAAACAGCUCAUGUCCUUUUUGUUUUCUAGCCACAACUUACUAUGCGGCCACCCAAAAAUAGCUCAGGCUGCACUUAAAUGGCGUGCGCGCUCGCACACAGAAAAGAGAAACUGGCUCAGGCUUUGUUAUUGUUAGCCUAAUAGCAUAGUUGCCUUAGUCAUAUAGUUGAACAUUUUCAAAACAAGAAAGCACAACAAAUUCUACAAACAAGAAGCGUCCGCUUGCCUCAAUUCAACCUCUGUGGAUUACCACGAACCAAAUGACUAAUAAAAUUCUAAAAAACUAUUAAAUUUGUAGCAAGCACAUUGCUAAUUUUUUUAUUUUUUUUUUAAUGUUGCGACAAACCCGUGAUUGGUUGUUAACUGCGCACUGAGCAUGUGAUGUCAUUUUCAGUUGACAGCAAGGGACAAAAUGUAUUUUUCUACACAAUCUUGUGUAAUAUAUAAUUUGUCAUUUUUAAUUCCCGUUUCAGAACAAAUUCUUGCAAGGGCUCUACAUUCAUGCUAAAUAAUUUAAAAUACAAUAUAUAUAUAUACAAAAAUAGACUAAAAAUAAACACUUGGUUCAAAACCCCCUUUUUGUCUUUGACACCCGACGGAUGCGCACUGGUCCUCCGAGUUAUUUUUGUUUGCAAGCACUCCCACUGAAAGACGACAGCCUCUGUUCAAGUGUGUGUGUGUGUGUGUGUGUGUGUGUGUGUGUGUGUGUGUCUUUUGGCAGGAUAAUUAGACCUUGUGCCUUUGCUCAGCGAGAGCCCUUUAACCGCAAGGCUGAGCAAUAAUGUAGCUACACUGUCACGGACACCGGCCCCUGACACACACACACCAGACAGUGCUUUUACUGACGUCUGAAAACAAACACACAAUCCAUAAACCCAACACACACUAAAAUUAGACAUUUUUGGCAUAUAAUGUGACUCUCCUUGCCCACACGCGAGGGCAUUACGAUGACCUUAAUUGAGUCAUGUGACACCAGGCACGAGUACGGGGAACAAGCAGCCGGCUUCCUCUUUUUCUCGCCCCUGCUCAUUGUUCUAAUAAAACACGUGCACAGACUUUCGGAAUAAUUCUUUGCUCAAGUUCACGGCCCUUAAGAUGCACACACACACACACACGCAUGCGUGCACCUUCUUCUCCUUCUAACUUCCCGUCAUGUGAAUAAGUGUUGAGUCACAGCAGCUACUUAUCACGUUAUCACACUCUUCUCCAGCCUCCCGCCGGCUUCCUCUGUGGCCUUUAAUCUUAGCCAAGCACGAGCAGGGUCGUCAACAAUCUGAACGCAUCCAAAUGGCGUGUUUAAUCUGAAAUAAAAUCCACUUUUAUGUGCAAUUCCCAAAGGCCGGCGGGCGCCGCAAAUGUAGUCAUUGACUCACAGUAAAGACGGGGGAGUUACUAAGCUGUGUUAAUUACGGGCUUUAGAGCAAGGUCUCCGAAAAAGUCAAUGAGUGGAGCUUUGGAACGCUGUGAUGAGAUUAAACGCGGUCGAAGCCGCCAGGACGAGAAGUGGCGAUGAUGCAACGAGCAGAAAUAAUGCCGAACCAAAACGGGAGCCAUGCGUAAUAUACUCGCUGUUCUGCCUUCGAUCAAGUUUGAAACAAGCUGAGCCUUGAGGAGAUGAUGUGUAACCUUAUGCUGGAAUUAAAUACAGUAAGAAAUCAUUUUGCAAUCAAGCAGGAAAUAUCCAAAGUUAAAAUUAGGAAUUUUCAAGAAAUGUUGCAGUACUGUAUUUUAUGCAUGGCUCUUUGUGUUGCUGCUCCAUUUGUGUUAAAGUAGCAGUUGUUUUCAAGUUUACAACUAUGCUCAUUUCCAUUAGCUCCUCUAGGUGUUAGCAUUAAGCUAGUGGACUUUCAUGCAAGAAGUGAUCAAUCUUUUGUUUGUUUAAAAUCUUAUACCAAGAGUGAAGUUUCUAUGCUAGUUUCUGUUAGCCAGUUUAUAGGGAUGUCCAUUAUUUGUUAGCAUUAAGCUAGCAGAUUUUUGUUUGAUGAAACAUGAUUUGGAGAUUUUUUAUACUGUACAAUGUAACAAUGGACAAAUAAACGCCUUGAGAAUAGGAUGCUUUGCCAUUUAAAAUGAUGUUGUACGAUAGUCACCCAUUUUGUGAUAUCAAAAUAUCUCCAGCAAUGUCACUGUUCUUAGAAGGCAAAUGUAAAUACGUAGACUCAUUAACCCUGACCCUCAUUAUGUAGUCGUUGUAGUCAUCUCCGAUGCGUCGAAGCUCCUGUCCGACCUCCACGGCCUGCAUGUCCCCAGCAGCCGGUCCGAGCCCGGCGCUCGGACGCCAGACAGAACUUCCUGCAAGCAAAAAAACAAAACACUUCACCCCUAAUGCGAUCAGAAAUGCGUUCGCUGAAUAUUAUCGUGUGAGUUCGGCCAAUUAGCCCCGCGCCAUCCCGCCGUGACGAUGCCAUUCAUCAAAAGUGCGGAAAGAUGGACGGGCCCCGGUCAGUAAUUACACGAUUGGAGUGGAGCUCAGUAAAUCAAAAGAAGCAGGGGAAGAGCCGAUUUGCUGGAAGGAAAUCAUCGCCUUUGGAAGUCCCGAACGGGUCCUUACCCGGUCACAGAUGAGCUUUGUGACCGAGACAACCCAUCGACUCAUCCCUAGAAUUACUGCUCGUGUGUGUGUGUUUAGUGCUAUCAGAUGGAUGCCGCUGAAUGAAAAAGCGCUGAAUGACCCAUGUCUGCGCCACACAAAAGACUAGCAGGACUGUUUUGACUGCCACACACACACAAAUAUAAAGCAUCCUAAAGCCCAGAGGUCUUAAUGAGCCAUGUUUAGACUCCAGCCGUCUGUCUGAUAAAAGAAAAAGAAAGAAAUGCUGAGAUUUUGACUCUGAACCUGAAUAAUUUUGAUAGGUAGAAAAACCUAUUGACGGUUCAGCAGAGUUCAGACCUCUGUCAACACUGAUGAGGGGCUGUAAAUUCCUCAAUUCUGAGAAUAGCAGCAAAUUUUGGACUGUAAAAUGGAAGAAAGAAAAAACAAAUAAAUCUUGCUUGGGUUUGUUUUAAAUUUUCAAAAAAAAAAUUGAAGCAAUCUAGUGAGUGUUGUUGAUAAAGUUAGAUAACAAAACUCCAAUUUUGGAUUGUCAAAAAUGUUCCAAUAAUCAUACUAUGUUGGGGUGUGUUGUUCCCCUCCAGUCCUCUAGGUGGCAGUCUGUAGUAGCCAGUGUUGUACAUUAUCUGAAUCGUAAGUUCCUGUCUUUACUGUUCCACUCCAACCCUUUAGGGGUCAGUAUUGUGCCAGAUUCCUCCCACCUAGUUCAGCAUCAGAAAAGUAUCUAUGUGAUUGUAAUAAAUAUUUAAGACAAAAAAAUGCAAAGAAUUGUCAUUCAUUUUAGGUGGUUAUAAAUGUUGCUAUGUUGUGGCUGUUCCACUCCAGCCCUCUAGGCGGCAAUAUUGUCUAUUUGUAUUCCUCUAACUACCUAACCAAAUUACUGGCGAACAGAAAGAAAUCAAACACAUUAUCUAAUAUGUUUCCCAUUCUGCAAGGCUAAAUGAGGUCACCAAAAUAUUUGAGGACAAAUAUAAACUAGAAUGUGCAGUGUGAGUUCAUUGUUGUUUGUGUCAGAGCAAACACUGCGAGGGGAUUAGCGCUGGUCGUUACUCCCUAUUUUGUCCCACGCCGCGGCCCGUUUGUUACCAAAACAAGCGUCAGAACAUUGCGGUGGCUAAAAGUAGCUGACAAAUCAAAGCGUACAUAAUGUUAAAAGAGCACUUUGGUGGCUGGAGGUGAUGAUAUUUUAAGACCAUAGUGAAGAGAGAGCUAAUAAUAAAGAUCCUGAAAGCGCCUUUUGUAUUACAUCCCAGACGGAAUGAAAUUUAGCUCUGGGAAGAAAAUGAUGUCCCAUGUUGGAAAGAUAGAAGACAAGUGACUUUGCAAACAUACCAGGAAAAAUAAGAUUAAGAAUCAGGUUUUGUUAUUUUAAAUGGAGUCAUUUGACAGUAAACCAUGUUGACUACUUGAUGUUGUUUUGGUAGCAUAUCUUUGGGCUCUUGCGUCAUGAUACUUUUAUUUUGUUUUUUUCCCCCUCUAGUGUAGGUCGGGCUGGUUCCUGUCAACUCUCCCUGUUCUUUGUUGGUGCCGUAAAUUGACGAUUUGACAUCUUUUAGCGAGCGAGGGGAAUCUGUUGUGACUCAUGUUGUAGUUUCAUGUUUCAAUUUGACAUGCACACUGUAGUUAAAUAUGCGCCAGCUGCUUCUGCACGAGUAAAUACGCUUCAAUCACUUAUGGGAUCAUGCACGAGCUAUUUUUUCCCAGUGGCCUCAGACUGAUGACCUUCAGUGUGUGACAUGGGCUUUCUAAGCUCCAGCUGCACAAGAGAUUGUUUGCACACAGUCUGCUCACGUGACCACACAUGACGUGCACUCACCCUGCAGCGUCGCCCUCGGGUAAUGCGCCUCCUCAGCGACGCGCGCCAGGGCGUGCUCCAGCGCCUGAGCCGAGGGGCUGGGCGUCUGAGUGAAGGCGGAGACGCGCGUCGAGAGCGGCGAGCUCGGCAGAGAUUCUCCCUCGAUGGAGAAGUAUCCGCUGGACGAUCGCCGGUACGGAAAGUGAAAGAUGGUUCUGGUCUCAAACACGCCGCGGCGCUCCGGGGAGAGGAGGGGGGAGAUGUUGCUCCGGAAGCGGGACGGCGAGCGCAGCGCGCCCGCUGCGGGUGCUCCUCCUAAAUGGUCGAUGUCUUGCAAGCAGACGCCGGAGCCGUGUUGCUCUUUGCGGCUCUCGCUCGGCUGCGGCCGCGGACGUCCUGCGCUCGCUUCUGUGGUCACUGCGGUUCCAUGGGAUCUGCUGGGGUGAACGCAACGGCACCGUCAACUUGCGUCGCCAGAAUCGGCGGCGGCUUCGUCCCUUCUUCCCCCGUUUGCGGUGUGUUAUUUCGCCUGCGAUCGGAUUACCUUUGACCGCCGAAUGGAUAUUGGCCGUCGCCCUGCAGAUCCUAUUCGGAAGCUCCACCGCGUUCGAAGGGGCGCUCGUGGAAGUUUUAAAACACUUUUUUUUUUUUGCUCGUGUGGAACUUUAUCGAGCCUCGCGUGUUAAAAGGAAGCAAACUGCGUCACAUGUCAACUCGGUCCGGGGGAAGGAAAAACAAAAGCUUUUUAUUUUUUUUUAACAGCAGACACCAUGUCUUUUUAUUUACCCUCAACCACCACAUCGGAACACGUUGACUCUAUCGGUCGAGAAUUGAACGUCUUUACGCGUUGACUAGUACAUUACAUUUUGAAAUAUAUUUCUAUAUUAGGCUGUGCGUAGGGGGGUGGGGGUGGGGGGUGUCUUCCUGUUUGUCCAUACUGAAGCGGCUUCCUCGGCGAGCAGCCCCACAAUGACGCUCUCCCGGGUGCCAACACAAUCCACGCACAUUUUAAUGCUACCAGGAGUUGGACUUUGCGCACUAGAGCCAACCUUGCGCCAAUUAAACACAGACAGCGGAAUGAUAAUGUGCGGACAUGAGUUUGUCCAAUCUGUCAACAUUAAAUCGUUUUUCUAACAA